RNAcentral lists this ribosomal RNA (250 nucleotides) under uncultured archaeon. RNAcentral describes it as "partial 16S ribosomal RNA". It matches the Rfam family "Bacterial small subunit ribosomal RNA", at positions 524 to 773 of the family's 1533-position model. The record is from RNAcentral.
UACAGAGGGUGCAAGCGUUAUUCGGAAUUACUGGGCGUAAAGCGCAUGUAGGUGGUUUAGUAAGUCUGGUGUGAAAUCCCUCGACUCAAUCGAGGAAGUGCAUUGGAUACUGCUAGACUAGAGUAUGGGAGAGGUGAGUGGAAUUCCAGGUGUAGAGGUGAAAUUCGUAGAUAUCUGGAGGAACAACAGAGGCGAAGGCGGCUCACUGGACCAUUACUGACACUGAGAUGCGAAAGCGUGGGGAGCAAAC